RNAcentral lists this unclassified non-coding RNA (172 nucleotides) under Glomeromycotina sp. RNAcentral describes it as "partial contains small subunit ribosomal RNA, internal transcribed spacer 1, and 5.8S ribosomal RNA". The stretch from base 1 to 47 matches the Rfam family "Eukaryotic small subunit ribosomal RNA", at positions 1785 to 1831 of the family's 1831-position model. The record is from RNAcentral. Lineage: Eukaryota; Fungi; Glomeromycota.
AAAGUCGUAACAAGGUUUCCGUAGGUGAACCUGCGGAAGGAUCAUUACUGAUUUUGCAAACCGAGCGUUAGCGAUCAACUUUUAUAUUUAAAACCCACUCUUUAUAUGUAUUUUUUUUUUUAUUUUGAAAAAAAUUUAAAGAUCACUUUCAACAACGGAUCUCUUGGCUCUC